This 230-nucleotide ribosomal RNA is filed under the name uncultured bacterium. Its description in RNAcentral is "partial 16S ribosomal RNA". It matches the Rfam family "Bacterial small subunit ribosomal RNA", at positions 546 to 775 of the family's 1533-position model. The record is from RNAcentral.
CGGAUUUACUGGGCGGAAAGAGCGCGCAGGCGGUCGUAUAAGUCGAAUGUGAAAGCCCCGGGCUCAACCUGGGAAUGGCAGUGGAAACUGGUCAGCUGGAGUGCGGUAGAGGAGGGUGGAAUUUCCGGUGUAGCGGUGAAAUGCGUAGAGAUCGGAAGGAACAUCCGUGGCGAAGGCGACCCUCUGGACCAGCACUGACGCUGAGGCACGAAAGCGUGGGGAGCAAACAG